CCCUUAGAUGUUCUGGGCCGCACGCGCGCUACACUGAUGCAUUCAACGAGUUUCUUCCUGGUCCGAGAGGAAUGGGUAACCUUUUGAAAAUGCAUCGUGAUAGGGAUAGACUAUUGCAAUUAUUGGUCUUCAACGAGGAAUUCCUAGUAGACGUAGUUCAUCAGACUGCAUCGAUUACGUCCCUGCCCUUUGUACACACCGCCCGUCGCUCCUACCGAUUGAAUGCUCAGGUGAGCCAUUCGGACUUUCAUCAUGCUGGUUUCCAGUUUUGAUGAAGGAAAGUCUUGCGAACCUUAUCAUUUAGAGGAAGGAGAAGUCGUAACA
Molecule: ribosomal RNA, 324 nt
Filed under: uncultured eukaryote
Lineage: Eukaryota
Description: partial 18S ribosomal RNA
Rfam family: Eukaryotic small subunit ribosomal RNA
Source: RNAcentral